Molecule: ribosomal RNA, 1489 nt
Filed under: Angiostrongylus chabaudi
Lineage: Eukaryota; Metazoa; Nematoda; Chromadorea; Rhabditida; Metastrongylidae
Description: eukaryotic LSU rRNA
Rfam family: Eukaryotic large subunit ribosomal RNA (bases 465-1489)
Source: RNAcentral
AAAAAUUAAAACUAUUGUUGUAUACAUGUACAUAUGGUAAUCACGUAUUCUUUACGCAUAAUGAAAGAAUGCACGACAUUGAUUGUCGAACGGCGUUCUGCGUUUUUUACGUGUGUAUGUUCAUGUUUCGACUAUUUGUCAAACGGUAACGUCAAUUUGCUACACUGUUCCCGUUUUAGUGAAGAAUGAGAUAAUAGCUACAUGUAAUAAUUAUAUAUGAAUUAUUACAUAAAAUGUAAUACGUGAUCAUAAUGUGCUUGUAUGCUAGCGAUGUCAUUGCUACCGUCGUCGAUGCUGAUUUUCAAUGAGUGUCGUUGAGAAUCGUGAAAUCAAAGAAAUAAUCAUCGAACGAUGGAUGAAUGAAUGAAUGAAAUGUAUUUCAUAUUAUGGUAAUGACGAGAAAUGCUACACAUAUUGCGAAUCGCACAUAGUUUUAGCGUAUUGCAUUUAAUUCUCAACGAAUACAACCUGAACUCAGACGUGAUAACCCGCUGAACUUAAGCAUAUCAUUUAGCGGAGGAAAAGAAACUAACAAGGAUUCCCAAAGUAACGGCGAGUGAACUGGGAAAAGCCCAACGCUGAAUCUUUCGAUUUUAUAUCGUGAAGAAAUGUAGCGUAUAGGUAUGGUUGUCGGUUUGUUUAGCAUGUCCAAAGUUCCUUUGAUAGGGGCCAUAUUCCGGAGAGGGUGCGAGACCUGUGCGGACAGUUGAGCAUACCGUAUGAUUAUACCGUAGAGUCGGGUUGCUUGAAAGUGCAGCCUUAAGUGGGUGAUAAACUUCAUCUAAGGCUAAAUACGAACGCGAAUUCGAUAGCAAACAAGUACUGUGAAGGAAAGUUGCAAAGAACUUUGAAGAGAGAGUUCAAGAGAACGUGAAAUCGUUGAAGUGGAACCGGAGAGAAUUGACGUAGUCUGGUGGAUAAGUAUUGCAAGAAUCGCAUUCAUAUAUUUGAAUGUGAUCAAGUAAUAUGUAUACCAUUAAUGACUGUGCUGACAGUAUCGGUUACACGAUCUGAACCCGUGUUAACAUGUUGCCCAUUCUAUUCGAUAGAAUGGUGUCUUGUGUUAUGUGGUAAGGUUUGUCGUUAGCUGAUAUUGAUUAAUGAUAAUUAUUUUUAAAUAAUUGUUAUGUCAGCAUAGAAGUCGAUCACCUCUCCGACCCGUCUUGAAACACGGACCGAGGAGUGUAAUUUGUACGCAAGUGAAUAGGUGAAAAACCUUAACGCGAAAUGAAAGUGAAGGCACGGUUAACCGGCUAACAUGGGAAACGUCUGUAUACAAUAUAUAUUUAACGAGACGUCACACCAUGGCCCUGUCUUGUCUGCGUGCAGAUGGGCAGCGGUAGAGCGUACAGGUUGCGACCCGAAAGAUGGUGAACUAUGCCUGAGCAGGACGAAGUCAGAGGAAACUCUGAUGGAAGUCCGUAUCGGUUCUGACGUGCAAAUCGAUCGAUAGACUUAGGUAUAGGGGCGAAAGACUAAUCGAACCAUC